Molecule: ribosomal RNA, 460 nt
Filed under: uncultured bacterium
Lineage: Bacteria
Description: partial 16S ribosomal RNA
Rfam family: Bacterial small subunit ribosomal RNA
Source: RNAcentral
CCUACGGGGGGCAGCAGUGAGGAAUAUUGGUCAAUGGACGAGAGUCUGAACCAGCCAAGUCGCGUGAAGGAUGACUGCCCUAUGGGUUGUAAACUUCUUUUAUAAAGGAAUAAAAGGAGCUACGGGUGCCUUUUUGCAAGUACUUUACGAAUAAGGAUCGGCUAACUCCGUGCCAGCAGCCGCGGUAAUACGGAGGAUUCAAGCGUUAUCCGGAUUUAUUGGGUUUAAAGGGUGCGUAGGCGGGUUGUUAAGUCAGUUGUGAAAUUUUGCGGCUCAACCUUAAAAUUGCAUUUGAUACUGGCAGUCUAGAGUGCAGUUGAGGUAGGCGGAAUGCGUGGUGUAGCGGUGAAAUGCUUAGAUAUCACGAAGAACCCCGAUUGCGAAGGCAGCUUACUAAGCUGUUACUGACAUUGAUGCACGAAAGUGUGGGUAUCAAACAGGAUUAGAUACCCGGGUAGUC